Long non-coding RNA from Lucilia cuprina (Australian sheep blowfly), 448 nucleotides. RefSeq lists it as uncharacterized. The transcript is spliced from 3 exons. The record is from RefSeq and is a predicted model, not a curated record. Lineage: Eukaryota; Metazoa; Arthropoda; Insecta; Diptera; Calliphoridae.
CAACAAUAAAAUAUACAUGUCACUUCAAAUCUACUCAUGUACACAUAUAUAUAAUGCCCUUAAGGUGCCACGUAUAUAGUAUACGUGAAUGUUGUAAGUACUUGAAUUUGUACUCGUUUAUUAUUGUAUAUGUGCAACACAUAAAAAACCGGGUUUAAAAAUUGUACACACGCGUGCUGGGACGCACGUACUCUCUUUUAAUGCAGCCUGCUGCCCUGUCAGUUUUAUGGAGUUUAUUGUUUAUUUUUUUUUGGUACCAUUCGAUUUCAGUGUUUUUCCUGAUGUAUAUUUUUUUAAAGAAAGACAUUAACCCAUGUGUUAAACUGAAGACAUAUGUUGACGUUUUCAAUUAAUUCCCAGAAAUAUACAUAGGUCAACAUCGGCUCAGAUAUGUGACCCUAUACUAGAGUCUCUAGUGGGAUCAAACCCACGAACUCCGGACAGACAG